Molecule: ribosomal RNA, 459 nt
Filed under: uncultured bacterium
Lineage: Bacteria
Description: bacterial SSU rRNA
Rfam family: Bacterial small subunit ribosomal RNA
Source: RNAcentral
UACGGGAGGCAGCAGUGGGGAAUAUUGCACAAUGGGCGAAAGCCUGAUGCAGCUAUGCCGCGUGUAUGAAGAAGGCCUUAGGGUUGUAAAGUACUUUCAUCGGGGAGGAAAAACAAAACUAAUAAUUUUAUUUCUUGACGUUACCCGAAAAAGAAGCACCGGCUAACUCCGUGCCAGCAGCCGCGGUAAUACGGAGGGUGCUAGCGUUAAUCAGAAUUACUGGGCGUAAAGAGCACGUAGGUGGUUUUUUUAAGUCAGAUGUGAAAUCCCUGGGGCUUAACCUAGGAAACUGCAUUUUUGAAAACUGAAAUACUAGAGUAUCGUAGAGGGAGGUAGAAUUCUAGGUGUAGCGGUGAAAUGCGUAGAUAUCUGGAGGAAUACCUGUGGCGAAAGCGGCCUCCUAAACGAAUACUGACACUGAGGUGCGAAAGCGUGGGGAGCAAACAGGGAUUAGAUACC